ACGUUGAAACACUGGUUCUCGUAUGAUCACCGAAGUUAAGCAAAGUGGUGCCUGGUCAGUACCUAGAUGGGUGACCGCUUGGGAAUACU
Non-coding RNA from Acanthosepion pharaonis, 89 nucleotides. The record is from the annotation of a GenBank genome assembly. NCBI's taxonomy places the organism in Eukaryota, Metazoa, Mollusca, Cephalopoda, Sepiida, Sepiidae.